GGCACUAUAGUGUAGAGGUUAUCACUCAGGAUUUUGAUUAGGGAAUCACCUUCCUGAAACCCAAGUUCGAGCCUUGGUAGUGCCU
Non-coding RNA from Schizophyllum amplum, 85 nucleotides. The record is from the annotation of a GenBank genome assembly. NCBI's taxonomy places the organism in Eukaryota, Fungi, Basidiomycota, Agaricomycetes, Agaricales, Schizophyllaceae.